CCUACGGGGGGCAGCAGUGAGGAAUAUUGGUCAAUGGGCGUACGCCUGAACCAGCCAAGUCGCGUGAGGGAUGAAGGUUCUAUGGAUUGUAAACCUCUUUUCUCAGGGAAUAAAGUGCGGGACGUGUCCCGUUUUGUAUGUACCUUAUGAAUAAGGCUCGGCUAACUCCGUGCCCGCAGCCGCGGUAAUACGGAGGAUCCGAGCUUUAUCCGGAUUUAUUGGGUUUAAAGGGUGCGUAGGCGGAAUAUCAAGUCAGCGGUAAAAAUUCGGGGCUCAACCCCGUCGUGCCGUUGAAACUGAUGUUCUUGAGUGGGCGAGAAGUAUGCGGAAUGCGUGGUGUAGCGGUGAAAUGCAUAGAUAUCACGCAGAACUCCGAUUGCGAAGGCAGCAUACCGGCGCCCAACUGACGCUGAAGCACGAAAGCGUGGGUAUCGAACAGGAUUAGAUACCCUUGUAGUC
Molecule: ribosomal RNA, 459 nt
Filed under: uncultured bacterium
Lineage: Bacteria
Description: partial 16S ribosomal RNA
Rfam family: Bacterial small subunit ribosomal RNA
Source: RNAcentral